GACGAACGCUGGCGGCGUGCUUAACACAUGCAAGUCGAGCGAUGAAACACCUUCGGGUGUGAAUUAGCGGCGAACGGGUGAGGAACACGUGAAGAAUCUGCCUUCAACUCUGGGAUAACUCCGGGAAACCGGGGCUAAUACCGGAUAUGAGCCUUGAUCGCAUGAUCGGGGCUGGAAAGUUUUUCGGUUGAAGAUGACUUCGCGGCCUAUCAGCUUGUUGGUGAGGUAAUGGCUCACCAAGGCGACGACGGGUAGCCGGCCUGAGAGGGCGACCGGCCACACUGGGACUGAGACACGACCCAGACUCCUACGGGAGGCAGCAGUGGGGAAUAUUGGGCAAUGGAGGAAACUCUGACCCAGCGACGCCGCGUGAGGGAUGAAGGCCUUCGGGUUGUAAACCUCUUUCAGUAGGGAAGAAGCGAAAGUGACGGUACCUACAGAAGAAGCACCGGCUAACUAUGUGCCAGCAGCCGCGGUAAUACAUAGGGUGCAAGCGUUGUCCGGAAUUAUUGGGCGUAAAGAGCUCGUAGGUGGUUCGAUACGUCGGAUGUGAAAAUCAGGGGCUCAACCCCUGACCUGCAUCCGAUACGGUCGAGCUAGAGUUUGGUAGGGGAGACUGGAAUUCCUGGUGUAGCGGUGGAAUGCGCAGAUAUCAGGAGGAACACCGAUGGCGAAGGCAGGUCUCUGGGCCAAUACCGACACUGAGGAGCGAAAGCGUGGGGAGCGAACAGGAUUAGAUACCCUGGUAGUCCACGCCGUAAACGGUGGGCGCUAGUUGUGCGAACCUUCCACGGUUUGUGCGACGCAGCUAACGCAUUAAGCGCCCCGCCUGGGGAGUACGAUCGCAAGAUUA
RNAcentral lists this ribosomal RNA (853 nucleotides) under uncultured bacterium. Its description in RNAcentral is "bacterial SSU rRNA". It matches the Rfam family "Bacterial small subunit ribosomal RNA", at positions 28 to 896 of the family's 1533-position model. The record is from RNAcentral.